RNAcentral lists this ribosomal RNA (216 nucleotides) under Campeiostachys nutans. RNAcentral's name for it is "Elymus nutans partial small subunit ribosomal RNA". The stretch from base 38 to 216 matches the Rfam family "Eukaryotic small subunit ribosomal RNA", at positions 684 to 864 of the family's 1831-position model. The record is from RNAcentral. Lineage: Eukaryota; Viridiplantae; Streptophyta; Magnoliopsida; Poales; Poaceae.
GGGUCAGUAGGUCGGUCGUGCCACUGGUAUGAACUGGUUUUACUGAUUCCUCCCUCUUGAAGAACUGUAAUGCCAUUAAUUUGGUGUUUUGGGGAAUCAGGACUGUUACUUUGAAAAAAUUAGAGUGUUUAAAGCAGGCUCACGCUUGUAUACAUUAGCAUGGAAUAACGGAAUAGGACGUUUGAUUCUAUUUUGUUGGUUUCUAGGAUCGACGUA